This 567-nucleotide ribosomal RNA is filed under the name Toxopneustes sp. LV060. RNAcentral's name for it is "partial 16S ribosomal RNA". It matches the Rfam family "Bacterial large subunit ribosomal RNA", at positions 1816 to 2597 of the family's 2925-position model. The record is from RNAcentral. Lineage: Eukaryota; Metazoa; Echinodermata; Echinoidea; Temnopleuroida; Toxopneustidae.
CGCUCCCUGUAAGUGUUUAACAUAGGGAGUCCUGCCUGCCCAGUGACUAGAGGUUAAACGGCCGCGGUAUCUUGACCGUGCGAAGGUAGCAUAAUCAUUUGUCUCCUAAAUAGAGACUAGUAUGAAUGGCAAGACGGAACAAGGCUGUCUCUUUCUCACAAUCCUGAAUUUCACCUCCCCGUGAAGAGGCGAGGAUAAAAUCGCUAGACGAGAAGACCCUGUCGAGCUUUAGCAGAAUCCAAAUCCUUAAUUUAUUUAUUUCCUCCUAAUCCAUAAAUCUAGCCGGCAAUAAAUUUUAUUUUCUUUGGGAAAGCUUUGGUUGGGGCAACCGCGGAGUAAAAAGACCCUCCGCUAAUAAGGUAUUAUAAAAAGAGCUACAACUCUAAAAUCAAAAUGAAACUAAUGAUCCACUAAGGUGAUCAAAGGAACAAGUUACCGCAGGGAUAACAGCGUUAUCUUUUCUGAGAGUUCACAUUGACGAAAAGGUUUGCGACCUCGAUGUUGGAUCGGGACAUCCUAAGGGUGCAGAAGCUUUUAAGGGUUGGUCUGUUCGACCAUUAAAGUCCU